Molecule: ribosomal RNA, 550 nt
Filed under: uncultured bacterium
Lineage: Bacteria
Description: bacterial SSU rRNA
Rfam family: Bacterial small subunit ribosomal RNA
Source: RNAcentral
UAGGGAAUCUUCGGCAAUGGGGGGAACCCUGACCGAGCAACGCCGCGUGAGUGAAGAAGGUUUUCGGAUCGCAAAGCUCUGUUGUUAAGGAAGAACGAGUGUGAGAAUGGAAAGUUCAUACUGUGACGGUACUUAACCAGAAAGGGACGGCUAACUACGUGCCAGCAGCCGCGGUAAUACAUAGGUCCCGAGCGUUGUCCGGAUUUAUUGGGCGUAAAGCGAGCGCAGGCGGUUAGAAAAGUCUGAAGUGAAAGGCAGUGGCUCAACCAUUGUAGGCUUUGGAAACUGUUUAACUUGAGUGCAGAAGGGGAGAGUGGAAUUCCAUGUGUAGCGGUGAAAUGCGUAGAUAUAUGGAGGAACACCGGUGGCGAAAGCGGCUCUCUGGUCUGUCACUGACGCUGAGGCUCGAAAGCGUGGGGAGCGAACAGGAUUAGAUACCCUGGUAGUCCACGCCGUAAACGAUGAGUGCUAGGUGUUGGGUCCUUUCCGGGGCUCAGUGCCGCAGCUAACGCAUUAAGCACUCCGCCUGGGGAGUACGACCGCAAGGUUG